RNAcentral lists this ribosomal RNA (253 nucleotides) under uncultured bacterium. RNAcentral's name for it is "partial 16S ribosomal RNA". It matches the Rfam family "Bacterial small subunit ribosomal RNA", at positions 524 to 776 of the family's 1533-position model. The record is from RNAcentral.
UACGUAGGGUGCAAGCGUUGUCCGGAAUUAUUGGGCGUAAAGAGCUCGUAGGCGGUCUGUCGCGUCUGCUGUGAAAACUCAGGGCUUAACCCUGAGCUUGCAGUGGGUACGGGCAGACUAGAGUGCGGUAGGGGAGAAUGGAAUUCCUGGUGUAGCGGUGGAAUGCGCAGAUAUCAGGAGGAACACCGGUGGCGAAGGCGGGUCUCUGGGCCGAUACUGACGCUCAUGCACGAAAGCGUGGGGAGCAAACAGG